RNAcentral lists this unclassified non-coding RNA (588 nucleotides) under Hevea brasiliensis (rubber tree). Lineage: Eukaryota; Viridiplantae; Streptophyta; Magnoliopsida; Malpighiales; Euphorbiaceae. The record is from RNAcentral.
CCAUGAGAGAACUAAUCAAACCCGAAAAAGUACCACCUGGGGGUUGGUUUGAGACAACUGGACCAGCAUUUUGAGGGUUAAGUAUCAUUUGAGAAGCUGGAGGAGGACCUCGAGGUAGAGGUGGCCGGAGCCUGGCCUGUGAGUGCAAGGUGUUUGGGAUAUUGUUGACUGGUAAAGGAAGAUGCCUAGCAGGUAUAAGAUUUGAAGGAGCCAUACUCAUGACAGCACCAUGCCCUUGUACAGUAUAUCCAUGGUUCAAUGGAAGUGCCAGUGGAUGAGGUGGCAUUGAAGCCACAGAUGGUGGAAGAUUUUCUUGAGCCUCAUUAGAUGGAAGAAACUGUGGCUGGAAAGGAUUAGCUUGAGCCUGGUUUUGCUUAUUCUGCACAGUCUGUUGACUGGGUAAUAGUGGUCGAUUCAUCAAACUGGGUUCUUUGCUUUCAAGGCCAUUGAACUGUUGGUCAGUCAAAAAGGAAGACUUAUGUAAACCCUGAUUUACACUAUUACUAGCAGUUAUUGAAUCAAACUGACUUUUACUUUGCUUCUGUGGUGGAAAAAUGGUGUGCACAGGAGGUGGAUGAGAUUUAUGCA